Molecule: ribosomal RNA, 466 nt
Filed under: uncultured bacterium
Lineage: Bacteria
Description: partial 16S ribosomal RNA
Rfam family: Bacterial small subunit ribosomal RNA
Source: RNAcentral
CUACGGGAUGCAGCAGUGGGGAAUAUUGGACAAUGGGGGAAACCCUGAUCCAGCAAUGCCGCGUGUGUGAAGAAGGCCUGCGGGUUGUAAAGCACUUUCGGUUGGGAGGACUGCUUCUAGCACUAAUAUUGUUGGAAGUUGACGUUACCUUCAGAAGAAGCACCGGCUAACUCCGUGCCAGCAGCGCGCGGUAAUACGGAGGGUGCAGGCGUUAAUCGGAAUUACUGGGCGUAAAGCGCGCGUAGGCGGCUAGAUCAGUCGGGUGUGAAGGCCCCGGGCUUAGCCUGGGAACUGCAUCCGAUACUGUCUAGCUUGAGUACAGGAGAGGAGAGUGGAAUUCCACAUGUAGCGGUGAAAUGCGUAGAUAUGUGGAGGAACACCAAUGGCGAAGGCAGCUCUCUGGCCUGAUACUGACGCUGAGGUGCGAAAGCGUGGGGAGCAAACAGGAUUAGAUACCCUUGUAGUC